CAGUCGCCGCGGUAAAACGUAGGGUGCGAGCGUUAAUCGGAAUUACUGGGCGUAAAGCGUGCGCUGGCGGUUUUGUAAGACAGGCGUGAAAUCCCCGGGUUCAACCUGGGAAUGGCGCUUGUGACUGCAAAGCUAGAGUGCGGCAGAGGGGGAUGGAAUUCCGCGCGUAGCAGUGAAAUGCGUAGAUAUGCGGAGGAACUCCGAUGGCGAAGGCAAUCCCCUGGGCCUGCACUGACGCUCAUGCACGAAAGCGUGGGGAGCAAACAGGAUUAGAUACCCCCGUAGUCCCUGUCUCUUAUAA
Molecule: ribosomal RNA, 301 nt
Filed under: uncultured bacterium
Lineage: Bacteria
Description: partial 16S ribosomal RNA
Rfam family: Bacterial small subunit ribosomal RNA
Source: RNAcentral